RNAcentral lists this ribosomal RNA (706 nucleotides) under uncultured Actinomycetes bacterium. Its description in RNAcentral is "bacterial SSU rRNA". It matches the Rfam family "Bacterial small subunit ribosomal RNA", at positions 128 to 847 of the family's 1533-position model. The record is from RNAcentral. Lineage: Bacteria; Bacillati; Actinomycetota; Actinomycetes.
GCCUUGACACUUCGGGAUAAGCUUGGGAAACUGGGUCUAAUACCGGAUAGGACAGCUGUUUAGUGUCAGUUGUGGAAAGUUUUUUCGGUGCAAGAUGAGCUCGCGGCCUAUCAGCUUGUUGGUGGGGUAAUGGCCUACCAAGGCGUCGACGGGUACCGGCCUGAAGGGUGUACGGCCACAUUGGGACUGAGAUACGGGCCCAGACUCCUACGGGAGGCAGCAGUGGGGAAUAUUGCACAAUGGGCGGAAGCCUGAUGCAGCGACGCCGCGUGGGGGAUGAAGGCCUUCGGGUUGUAAACUCCUUUCGACAGGGACGAAGCGUAAGUGACGGUACCUGUAUAAGAAGCACCGGCUAAACUACGUGCCAGCAGCCGCGGUAAUACGUAGGGUGCGAGCGUUGUCCGGAAUUACUGGGCGUAAAGAGCUCGUAGGUGGUUUGUCGCGUCGUCUGUGAAAUUCCGGGGCUUAACUCCGGGCGUGCAGGCGAUACGGGCUGGCUUGAGUGCUGUAGGGGAGACUGGAAUUCCUGGUGUAGCGGUGAAAUGCGCAGAUAUCAGGAGGAACACCGAUGGCGAAGGCAGGUCUCUGGGCAGUAACUGACGCUGAGGAGCGAAAGCAUGGGUAGCGAACAGGAUUAGAUGCCCUGGUAGUCCAUGCCGUAAACGGUCGGGCGCUAGGUGUAGGGGGCUUCCACGUCUUCUGUGCC